UCCCUGGUGGCUCAGAUGGUAAAGCAUCUGCCUACAAUGUGGGAGACCCAGGUUUGAUUCCUGGGUCGGGAA
RNAcentral lists this transfer RNA (72 nucleotides) under Capra hircus (goat). It matches the Rfam family "tRNA". From Rfam's summary of the family: Transfer RNA (tRNA) molecules are approximately 80 nucleotides in length. Their secondary structure includes four short double-helical elements and three loops (D, anti-codon, and T loops). RNAcentral also lists the same sequence under 1 other name. The record is from Rfam by way of RNAcentral. Lineage: Eukaryota; Metazoa; Chordata; Mammalia; Artiodactyla; Bovidae.